UAUGUGUCGCCCCGAGAUGCCAUGAUUCCCAUAUCCCCACUCCUUCCACCUCUGGCUAGGGUUCGAUCUCGUGCAGGAGGUUGGUGGAGAGAGGGACUCGCGCGGGAGGUUGCCGAGCUCGUCCGCGGAGUGUGAGGCACGCCGGAAGACGGUGAGCUCGUCGGUGGAGAACAAGCCGCGCGCGGGAGGGCGGGAGUUCGUCGGCGGUGAGUGAGGCACACUCGAGCUUGUCGACGCGGAGCAACCAGCGCAUGAGUGCGGGGAGAUCGGCGAUGAAGUGGGAGGAUCGCUAGAGGGCAUCAAGGUUGGGGACGGAGGGCAAGGUGGUGAAGAGCUCGGGGGCGGUAGAUCAGAGACGGUGAGCAAAUCUCACAAAUCCUGAGGUCUUGAGCUCUGUACACUUGAUUCCCCUCGAGGUAUUUGUAUUUCACCUCCCAAGGAAAGGAGCAAUUCUGGCGUGUGGACAUUCUCCGCCAUGGCAGUAAUCUAAAGCUUGAGAUGGUCUUGUUUGUGCCUCAAGACACCGUAUGUAUUUCUACCUGACAUCUUCUUGUCUGUCUCAAUGAUUGAGCCAAGGCUGCCGGCCCUCGCCAUGUGAGGUCGAAGAAUGACAUGUAUAUGUCAAAAUCGAGCGUUUGCUCUAUAUUAUCGUGUAGAAUACCAACUGCAGACUGGACGUAUGUUAAUCACUACCAGCAACAUGUUAGUUCAGUUUAAUUACCGUUUUUUUCCUGAUGUGCCACUUUAUUUCGAUUCAUAGCACUUUGCAUGACUAAGGACAAAUUGUAUGUUU
Molecule: long non-coding RNA, 793 nt
Organism: Lolium rigidum
Lineage: Eukaryota; Viridiplantae; Streptophyta; Magnoliopsida; Poales; Poaceae
Exons: 2
Source: RefSeq, a predicted model, not a curated record